AGCGAACGCUGGCGGCAGGCUUAACACAUGCAAGUCGAACGGUCCUUCGGGAUAGUGGCGGACGGGUGAGUAACACGUGGGAACGUACCCUUAGGUUCGGAACAACACAGGGAAACUUGUGCUAAUACCGGAUAAGCCCUUCGGGGGAAAGAUUUAUCGCCUUUGGAGCGGCCCGCGUCUGAUUAGCUUGUUGGUGAGGAUAAUGGCUCACCAAGGCUACGAUCAGUAGCUGGUCUGAGAGGAUGGCCAGCCACACUGGGACGGAGACACGGCCCAGACUCCUACGGGAGGCAGCAGUGGGGAAUCGUGCGAAAUGGGCGAAAGCCUGACGCAGCCAUGCCGCGUGGAUGAUGAAGGUCUUAGGAUUGUAAAAUCCUUUCACCGGGGACGAUAAUGACGGUACCCGGAGAAGAAGCCCCGGCUAACUUCGUGCCAGCCGCCGCGGUAA
Molecule: ribosomal RNA, 448 nt
Filed under: uncultured bacterium
Lineage: Bacteria
Description: partial 16S ribosomal RNA
Rfam family: Bacterial small subunit ribosomal RNA
Source: RNAcentral